Molecule: ribosomal RNA, 354 nt
Filed under: Pseudomonas aeruginosa
Lineage: Bacteria; Pseudomonadati; Pseudomonadota; Gammaproteobacteria; Pseudomonadales; Pseudomonadaceae
Description: bacterial LSU rRNA
Rfam family: Bacterial large subunit ribosomal RNA
Source: RNAcentral
AAGCUUGCUGGAGGUAUCAGAAGUGCGAAUGCUGACAUGAGUAACGACAAUGGGUGUGAAAAGCACCCACGCCGAAAGACCAAGGGUUCCUGCGCAACGUUAAUCGACGCAGGGUUAGUCGGUUCCUAAGGCGAGGCUGAAAAGCGUAGUCGAUGGGAAACAGGUUAAUAUUCCUGUACUUCUGGUUACUGCGAUGGAGGGGCGGAGGAGGCUAGGGCCGCUUGGCCGUGGGUGGCCAAGUUUAAGGUGGUAGGCUGAAAUCUUAGGUAAAUCCGGGUUUUCAAGGCCGAGAGGUGAUGACGAGUCGUCUUUUAGAUGACGAAGUGGUUGAUGCCAUGCUUCCAAGAAAAGCUU